Molecule: long non-coding RNA, 2950 nt
Filed under: Varroa destructor (honeybee mite)
Lineage: Eukaryota; Metazoa; Arthropoda; Arachnida; Mesostigmata; Varroidae
Description: uncharacterized LOC111245694
Source: RNAcentral
AAAGAGGUAUGCUAUUUCUGUUGUGAAAAAGUAUUUUUUCUAAUGAGAAAUCUCACUCACUUGUUUAUUUGAUCUAUUUUAUAGAGUUUACCGUUUACCAUUUGAUUUUGUGACACUGAAGUUUUCAAUAGGACCAAAUUUGUCAACAAUUACCAAGCGAUCGUCAAUGUAGAUAUACUAGGGUUCACGCGCGACAUGCAGAACAGUAAAAAAUAUCUGCCUGACACAACUAAUAAAUUAUUGAGAAUUGAUUUUUCCUAUUAUUUAUAUUUAAGCAGCUAAUUUUAUAGCAAGGUUGCUAGCGGUCGAUUCGGCGAAUUCAUCGAGUCCUGUGUGACGUUUGGCCGCCUUACGAUUAGCAGCCAACUGGUACUUAGUUAGAACGAUGCCACUAACAAGGAGAACAGAGAAGGCACUGCGAAGGUUGAAGUGUGGUACUUUUUUCGUGCUCAACUAUAUAUAGGUCCGUAUAUUAGCUACGGCCGUAAGAGAAGCUUUGCUCUUAAUGCAAAGAUUGGGAAGAGCUUUACUUAUCGCGUUCAAGAAACUAGAUGCGGAUGACGUUGCAUCGUGGUUCUAGCGACAAUAGGAAGCCGCCAGCCACUUCGACUAUUUGCUUGCACAGAUGUGACGGUUUAUACACAAACAGUGAGUAACGAUUAUCUCGUGACACCACCAGCCUGGCCCCGUUGACAUAAUAACAGCUAGUCAUUAGACAAGGCUACCACUACUCCAGGCCUAUAAUCCUCACGAUGAGCACACGUUUGUAACUGUUUGUGGUUGACUUUGUCUGCUGUGUUUAGCUAGAAAUUUUCGAUAUAUUUUGUCGUUAAAUGGGCAUUGCUUAUACCUAUCACUGGUUUAUGGAGUCGCUGCUGGUACCAACUGUGAACUGUAAGAUACCAUUGUGGCUUCUCGUAGCUUCAACGAGGGCGGCCAGGGUCUGUUUACAAGCAUCUAUCUAUCUAUUGUGCCUUUUACGAAUAUCAGCUCAUAUUAGAAAGGUCAGUGGAAGCCGCCGGCGGACAGUCUAUUCUAAACUUAUUCUAGCACGGAUUGUUCUGUGCAUUCAGAAAUCACUAAAGCAUCAUCAUAAGAUCAACAGCUAAAAAAUGGUGCACCAGUUAGCCUUCUGCGAAGACAGUGAAAUGUGGUCUUUGUUCGAAUCGUGGUUCACCCCGUUCAGCCGUUGUUUCGAGUGGACCGCUUUGUGCUACGUGCCAUUUGUUUAUUUGGCACUCGCUUCGUAUGUAUGGAUCUACAUGGCCUAUUUUCGAAAGCGCCUUGUUCGACCUCCAAAAAAGCGCCUCUCGGUUUGGACCCCACUACAAUUUACGCGCUCGGCGUUAGCUGCUUCAUUAAUGACGUUAACUGGCUCUCCUGCAUCAUAGUGCAUGUACUUCACUAUCUUCAUCGCGAUGUUGGCCGACAGACAUCACGAAUCCUGACAUCAUACUGGUCUCUUAUGGCUAUCUUCCACCUGCCAGCUUACUACCGGAUCUGGAUGGAGAUCGUUUAUCCUGCUGUACAGACGAAUUUGGCCACCAACUCUGUAGUACUUCACACUGUCACGUAUCCGCUAAUAAUCGCCUCUCUAACAAUAAACGUCGUCAUGAAUAAAAAUCAGACACUUCUCAAUUACUAUGAAAAUAUUCCCGGUUACAAUCGGAGACGUUCCUUGACUCGGUAGACAACAACACCGGAUCCGUACGAGGUGCUUUGAAUACAACAUCAGGUGGGCGUAAAUUCGCAAAUACCGACAAUGUUAUUGACUUUAUGUUCUUUGACUGAAGUGUGAUUUUCGAUGAUAAAAACAGACAACUGAUAGUAAAAGUACCAUCUGUCCAAAAGUAAUUAGCUAGCUUGCGAGUCACUUGUGAGAAUGGGCCUGUUGAAUCUUUGUUUCCUAUACUGUGUUUAUGCAAAUACUUAGACCUUUAUUAAAAUCUUAGAGAUAAUAGUUUUACGUGUGGAAGCUACAAAUUUGUGUAGUACUUUGGGCUCAUUUAGUUAGAAUUUGCAUUUUACUUACGACAUCAGGGCAGCCACUUCACUGAGCAGACGAAAUUUUGUUCGGGCAGCUGCUGUGCGAGCACUAAGUAAAUCUAUUGUCAGAGUUAGCUUAGAUUGAAAAUAAAUAGAUUAGAAUAAAUAUUAUAACAUUUUUUCUAUCAUCUUAUAUAGUGGAGACGUUACUUUUAGCUCGUGAUAUUAUCGUUUUGUUCCUUUUACAAAGAUUGCAAUUUAUUCAUUUGUGCGCAUGUUCAGCUGUUGUAACAAAGUAAAACUUGCUCCUGUGAUGGUUUAGUAUCAAAGUGUUUAUCAACUAGAUUUGGAUACACGUGGCGAUUUAUGAUUGAAUUUGGACGCACCCAUUCCCUUCACCGAAAACCAACCUUCUAAAACAAUGCCUAACGCAGUACCGGACGAAAAACUCGAACCACUUCAUCGCUAUUAUUAAUAAUGUAUUUAAACAGAUUCAGAAUAUUCAUAAAAUAACGCAAUCCGGCUAAUUAGCAUUUAGUGCUUUAGUGGUAAUUUCCGUGCAAUUAAUUUUCUUUUACUUUUUCCUGUAUAAAAUAAUUCCGACAUAUAUAUAUAUAUGUAUAUAUAUGCUGAAAAGGAAUCUGCCAAAAAUUACCUCAGGGGACUUCAAAUUCGGCCGUAGUCUUGAAUAGCUGGUUAAAUCUAAAGCAAAUUUUGUUCAAUUUUAUUUUUUUUCAAAUUUUGUUUUUUGGCAAGAAAAUUGCCUUGCACAUUUCCUCUCAAAUUUUUCUAUCAUACGCUAUUAUCCAUGUAGGGCAAAAAGACAGAAAAAUACUGAGACAAAAAAUUGUUGGUACAAAAGCCUAGAAAAAGGGUUACUAUUAGAAGCAGCGCGUUAGGCUUAAUUUUUAGAACAGUAUGUAUUUUUAACAAAAAAAAAAAAAAAAAUAGGACUCCAGUCCAA